This 416-nucleotide ribosomal RNA is filed under the name uncultured Methylomirabilota bacterium. RNAcentral describes it as "bacterial SSU rRNA". It matches the Rfam family "Bacterial small subunit ribosomal RNA", at positions 1001 to 1414 of the family's 1533-position model. The record is from RNAcentral. Lineage: Bacteria; Methylomirabilota (SeqCode).
CCGAAAGGCAGGAGUGCCCGCAAGGGAGCGCGGAGACAGGUGGUGCAUGGCUGUCGUCAGCUCGUGUCGUGAGAUGUUGGGUUAAGUCCCGCAACGAGCGCAACCCUCACCCCUUGUUGCUACCAGGUAAAGCUGGGCACUCUAGGGGAACUGCCCCGGUCAACGGGGAGGAAGGCGGGGAUGACGUCGAGUCAUCAUGCCCCUUACGUCCUGGGCUACACACGUGCUACAAUGGCCGGUACAAAGGGAUGCCACACCGUGAGGUAGAGCUAAACCCAAAAAGCCGGUCUAAGUUCAGAUUGGAGUCUGCAACUCGACUCCAUGAAGGAGGAAUCGCUAGUAAUCGCGUAUCAGCACGACGCGGUGAAUACGUUCCCGGGCCUUGUACACACCGCCCGUCACACCACGAAAGCCAG